AACGAACGCUGGCGGCAUGCCUAACACAUGCAAGUCGAACGAAGGCUUCGGCCUUAGUGGCGCACGGGUGCGUAACGCGUGGGAAUCUGCCCUUUGGUUCGGAAUAACAGCUGGAAACGGCUGCUAAUACCGGAUGAUGACGAAAGUCCAAAGAUUUAUCGCCAGAGGAUGAGCCCGCGUUGGAUUAGGUAGUUGGUGGGGUAAAGGCCUACCAAGCCGACGAUCCAUAGCUGGUCUGAGAGGAUGAUCAGCCACACUGGGACUGAGACACGGCCCAGACUCCUACGGGAGGCAGCAGUGGGGAAUAUUGGACAAUGGGAGCAAGCCUGAUCCAGCAAUGCCGCGUGAGUGAUGAAGGCCCUAGGGUUGUAAAGCUAUUUUACCCGGGAAGAUAAUGACUGUACCGGGAGAAUAAGCCCCGGCUAACUCCGUG
Molecule: ribosomal RNA, 433 nt
Filed under: uncultured bacterium
Lineage: Bacteria
Description: partial 16S ribosomal RNA
Rfam family: Bacterial small subunit ribosomal RNA
Source: RNAcentral